RNAcentral lists this ribosomal RNA (503 nucleotides) under uncultured bacterium. Its description in RNAcentral is "partial 16S ribosomal RNA". It matches the Rfam family "Bacterial small subunit ribosomal RNA", at positions 30 to 523 of the family's 1533-position model. The record is from RNAcentral.
AUUGAACGCUGGCGGCAGGCUUAACACAUGCAAGUCGAGCGGGGUGAUGGUGCUUGCACUAUCACUUAGCGGCGGACGGGUGAGUAAUGCUUAGGAAUCUGCCUAUUGGUGGGGGACAACAUCUCGAAAGGGAUGCUAAUACCGCAUACGUCCUACGGGAGAAAGCAGGGGAUCACUUGUGACCUUGCGCUAAUAGAUGAGCCUAAGUCGGAUUAGCUAGUUGGUGGGGUAAAGGCCUACCAAGGCGACGAUCUGUAGCGGGUCUGAGAGGAUGAUCCGCCACACUGGGACUGAGACACAGCACAGACGCCUACGGGAGGCAGCAGUGGGGAAUAUUGGACAAUGGGGGGAACCCUGAUCCAGCCAUGCCGCGUGUGUGAAGAAGGCCUUAUGGUUGUAAAGCACUUUAAGCGAGGAGGAGGCUCUUUUGGUUAAUACCCAAGAUGAGUGGACGUUACUCGCAGAAUAAGCACCGGCUAACUCUGUGCCAGCCGCCGCCGUAA